GAUGAAGAACGCAGCGAAAUGCGAUAAGUAAUGUGAAUUGCAGAAUUCAGUGAAUCAUCGAAUCUUUGAACGCACAUUGCGCCCGCCAGCAUUCUGGCGGGCAUGCCUGUUCGAGCGUCAUUUCAACCCUCAAGCUCUGCUUGGUGUUGGGGCCCUACGUCUGACGUAGGCCCUCAAAGACAGUGGCGGACCCUCUCGGAGCCUCCUUUGCGUAGUAACUAACGUCUCGCACUGGGAUUCGGAGGGACUCUUGCCGUAAAACCCCCAAUUUUUACAGGUUGACCUCGGAUCAGGUAGGAAUACUCGCUGAACUUAAGCAUAUCAAUAAGCGGAGGA
This 336-nucleotide unclassified non-coding RNA is filed under the name soil metagenome. RNAcentral's name for it is "partial contains 5.8S ribosomal RNA, internal transcribed spacer 2, and large subunit ribosomal RNA". The stretch from base 1 to 120 matches the Rfam family "5.8S ribosomal RNA", at positions 35 to 154 of the family's 154-position model. The record is from RNAcentral.